This is a long non-coding RNA of Clupea harengus (Atlantic herring), 1059 nucleotides long. The record is from Ensembl. NCBI's taxonomy places the organism in Eukaryota, Metazoa, Chordata, Actinopteri, Clupeiformes, Clupeidae.
GGGGGAGGGGGGGGGGGGGGCGCUUGCCUGAAGUGAAUCCGGUUGUUGUGAUCGAGAGCACAUUGCUCUUUGAAGGGGAAAGGAGAGGGGUUGAGGCAGAGAGGGGGAGGGGGGAGGGGGAUUUUAGGUUUUUUCGGAGAGGGGAGGGGAGUGCAUGCUUGGAGGAGGUGGCCUGAAGGGUCCAAUGCGAGAGGAGGAUCGCAGAAGAGGAGACGCUCCCUACUGCACAGCAGAGCAGGAGCAGGGAUGUUAGUGUUGGGACCAGGAGGUGGAUUUGUCUCUAGGGAGGGGGAUGUGUCUCUAGGGAGGGGGAUAGAGGAGGGGGAUGGGGAUGUGUCUCUAGGGACAGACAGAGGUUGUAGCGGUGAUGCAGAGUGUUAGUUUAGUUUAUGAGCAGGUAAUCUCCACAUGUGUCAGAGAGUGAAAAGAGGUAAACAGAAGGAAGGAAGGAAGGAAGGAAGGAGGGGAUUAUUGAAUGUAAUGAAUACUGCUCCUAGUUUCACCAUUGCCCUACAUUUCUCAAGAAUUCUAAUAUGUGGGCACAGUGUUUGUUUUAUGAUGGUGAAGAUCAUUUGAUUUGAAAUUAAAGUCGGACUGAAGUAGAGUGAGUUAUGAAGUGAAAUUCGUUUUUUUUUUUUCGUUUUUUCUUAAAGCAUCGUUGAUUCGUGAAUGUUGUUGCUCUUAUUUUCAGACACUUGGGCUUUAGGCCCAGACGGCUCUUACUGACUGGAUUAAAAGAUUGUGAGCCGUGGUGUGGCGUGGUGUGAGUCUGCUCGUAAUGCUGGCUCUGUGAGAUUGCUCUCUCUCUGGAUGUAAACAGAUUUCUUAAACUGCCCCAAACAGAUAGUUAGAGGGUUGGGUCUUCAGCCACGGCCAAUAUGGAGCCAUUCCUGUGGCGUGUGGUCUCUGACAGGGGCAAGAGAGGAGACAUGCAACUAAUGUGUGUGUGUGUGUGUGUGUGUGUGACACACACAGACAUUAGUAAACCCACACACACACACACAGACACACAAAUAGUUUGCUGUGUUGACUUGGUGGUGUCACUGCAACUAAGCAACC